This is a long non-coding RNA of Biomphalaria glabrata, 2246 nucleotides long. RefSeq lists it as uncharacterized. The transcript is spliced from 2 exons. Lineage: Eukaryota; Metazoa; Mollusca; Gastropoda; Planorbidae. The record is from RefSeq and is a predicted model, not a curated record.
UUACAAGGGUUUAUUAUCAGUCGCAUUCCCUGGUAAUGUAGUCAGAGGUGACUUUUCUAGUGGUAUGAACAUUUAGUGACCUCCAAAUGGCUGCCGAAAGCAUCAAUCUAUUGGACCUAGGCAACGAUGAAAUGUCGGAGAUGUUCAGACAGAAGCCUUGCUGUACCCUUCACACAGAUCAAUGUUUAGACUUUUACUGCAGAAAAUGUCACGAACCCAUAUGCAGCAAUUGCACUAUCGUGACACACAAUGCAAUGAAUGGACACAGAAUUUUUGAUUUUCGUCAGUAUUAUGAAAGUCACUCAGAUAAAUUCCGCCGACAAAGAGAGACCUAUAACAAAACGAUGAAUGAUUUGGCUAAUUGUGUCAAUAUCCAUAGUUCAGCCAUUAGACUUGUCGAAGAAAAGAAAACCGCUCUUUUAAACGCGGUGGAACGUGAUCUUAAUGAAAACAUAGAGCAACUCAAAGCACGAGCCAAUGUUCUGAAACAAAAGAUUAAAAGAAAAUUUAAUUCUCAACAAGAAACGUUUCGAUCAGAAAAAGAAAGUCUUGAAACUCGCAAAAAGAAAUUAGUUUCAUUAUUAAAUGACUAUGACAAGUCAGUGGAUAUUUCUGACAAAUUCGCAACUGUAAAAAUGUACCACCAACUGAAAGCAGAUUACGGAGAUCAUCGAUCGGCUGUGUCCAGAACUAAUCAGGUUCCAAUUCAAAAUUACUGGGUGUUCUUCGAAGAAGACUGGAAAUUUCAGAGCGCUCUUCGAAGCCGAGGAAAAAUUAGCAGAACAAUUAAUACCACUAAAGUAUUGUACUAAAAAGAAGUCGAGCUGUUUAUUUACUUUGGUUGGGGGGCGUAUUUCAGUUGUAACAAUAAAUUCCAGGCACUUCAUACUCUGGUACAUCAUAGGGUGAUUUAAAAAUCAAUAAAACAUAUAAAAAUCUAAGAAUAUAAAUGUAGAUAAAUGUCAGCGGGUUAUUUUGGGAUAGUCAUUGGGUGACAUUUUGUUCGUGUUAUGGUGUGACAAUGUAGGCACAUUGGGUGACCUUGGGUUCAUGUUAUAGUGUGACAAUGUAGGCACAUUGAGUUCAUGUUAUAGUGUGACAAUGUAGGCACAUUGGGUGACCUUAGGUUCAUGUUAUAAUGUGACAAUGUAGGCACAUUGAGUUACCUUGGGUGCAUGUUAUGGUGUGACAAUGUAGGCACAUUGGGUGACCUUAGGUUCAUGUUAUAGUGUGACAAUGUAGGCACAUUGAGUUCAUGUUAUAGUGUGACAAUGUAGGCACAUUGGGUGACCUUAGGUUCAUGUUAUAGUGUGACAAUGUAGGCACAUUGAGUUACCUUGGGUGCAUGUUAUGGUGUGACAAUGUAGGCACAUUGGGUGACCUUAGGUUCAUGUUAUAGUGUGACAAUGUAGGCACAUUGAGUUCAUGUUAUAGUGUGACAAUGUAGGCACAUUGGGUGACCUUAGGUUCAUGUUAUAGUGUGACAAUGUAGGCACAUUGAGUUACCUUGGGUGCAUGUUAUGGUGUGACAAUGUAGGCACAUUGGGUGAUCCUGGGUUCAUGUUAUAGGCAUAUUGGCUGACAUUGGGUUCGUGUUAUAGAGUGACAUUGUUGGCGCAUUGGGUGACAUUGGGUUCGUGUUAUAGAGUGACAAUGUAGGCGCAUUGGGUGACAUUGGGUUCAUGUUAUAGGCAUAUUGGGUGACAUUGGGUUCGUGUUAUAGAGUGACAAUGUAGACAUAUUGGGUGACAUUGGGUUCAUGUUAUGGAGUGACAAUGUAGGCGCAUUGGGUUCAUGUUAUAGUUUGAGAAUGUAGACGUUGUCAGGAUGAAUGUAUGCUUUUAAUGUAUGCAUAAUCAGGAGAAAUACUUGUGCUUUCAGACAUCACUCAUAAAAUGAGGAAAUUACACUUGAUAUAGCGGACACGACACAAAUAAUACGUUUAAUAUAUACAAUAUCUUGGUCUCUAUUAAGUUCUUAUAAUGACUGCCACUUACUGGCUGCUGAUUGCUCAAGGUUUAAAGUAUUCCCCCCCCCCAAAAAAAAAACACGAGUGUUGUCAACUACUCAACUCUCAAACUAGAGUGUCCUACUGGAGGGCACCAACUUUGGUUUCUUUCAACUUGACAGCAUAUAAUUAUCAUAAGUAGGGAUCAAAAUAGAUCUGAAAGUUAUCUCUUAUUGCUUAAUAAUACAAUUAUUUGGUUCAAAUUGAAUUCAAUAAAUAUUUGACAAAUGUUUCUCAA